RNAcentral lists this non-coding RNA (29 nucleotides) under Rattus norvegicus (Norway rat). Lineage: Eukaryota; Metazoa; Chordata; Mammalia; Rodentia; Muridae. The record is from RNAcentral.
UAACUAACUCAAGGUAUGCUUCAGCCUCA